GAGCACAGCUCACUGUCAGGCAAUCUGGCAAGGAGGGGGUGGGGGGAGUUAGAGAGGCAGGCCUUUCAAAGCUCAGCUCACUUGAUAUUAGGAAGGAUGUUUCAUUUACCUGGAGUUGAGUCAUUUUCCAAACUCGGAGCUAAUCUGAAUUAAUGCACCCUGGCCAAUGUAACCUUGAAGUGAAAUCUAUUUGUCACACUGUGAAGGCCACACUGGCUUGGAACCUGUGCCCUCCUCACACACCCCUGCCAGUGCUGAACAUGGGUCCUGUCAUCUACACCAUUCAAGAGGACAAAUGCCUAAGACAAACUUUUUGCUUGGUGAUAAAACUCCUGCACAGUUUUAUCUAAUCUCACCAUCAGGAGGCUAACACAGCACCAACGAGGCUCUCCAGAUUCUGCGCAUCUCAAGAAAGAGUUUGACGCAGUGAAGAAGGCUCAAAGGUGUGUGUCACAGAGGGAAGCCAAAGGACAUGUGCUCUACUGCAAAAGAAAGCUGGCACAAGCCAAGGUCUAGAAAUUCACCAACUCCGUAUUCCCAAACAGUGACGAGAGGUUGAGAUGCUUCAGAGUAUCCCUGGGUAGCUCCGAAACUCCAUUGCAAAUGACAGAGCAUUUGCAAAAGGUACGUGGCCCAAACCUACUAAAACCUACAGCAGAAUCUUCUUCCAUCUAACCCUUUCCCUCUACUCUCCCCCUGCAAUUUCUUCUGAAAAUGUGCUGUUAGUUUUCUCAUUGCAUUCUCUUAAUUCCAACAAUUCUCACUUUUGUUUCCAUCCAUCCAUCCAUUCCUCCAUUCAUUCAUUCAUCCAUCUAUUCAUUCAUUCAUUCAAGAAGUGUUUAUUUGCCAAGUCCUGUUCUAAGUGCUGGAGAAAAGGAUCUGUUUCCUCAGGAAUCCACUGCUCUGGUAAAGAGUGGUGGGGGGGAGAAAUAGAAAACA
RNAcentral lists this long non-coding RNA (939 nucleotides) under Cricetulus griseus (Chinese hamster). RNAcentral's name for it is "lncRNA (ENSCGRG00000026029.1)". The record is from RNAcentral. Lineage: Eukaryota; Metazoa; Chordata; Mammalia; Rodentia; Cricetidae.